This 253-nucleotide ribosomal RNA is filed under the name uncultured bacterium. Its description in RNAcentral is "partial 16S ribosomal RNA". It matches the Rfam family "Bacterial small subunit ribosomal RNA", at positions 524 to 776 of the family's 1533-position model. The record is from RNAcentral.
UACGUAGGUGGCAAGCGUUGUCCGGAUUUAUUGGGCUUAAAGGGUGCGUAGGCGGCUCCUUAAGUCAGUGCUGAAAUACUCUAGCUUAACUAGAGGGGUGGCAUUGAUACUGAGGAGCUUGAGUAGAGUCGAGGUAGGCGGAAUUGACGGUGUAGCGGUGAAAUGCUUAGAUAUCGUCAAGAACACCGAUAGUGUAGACAGCUUACUAGGCUUCAACUGACGCUGAGGCACGAAAGUGUGGGGAUCAAACAGG